Molecule: ribosomal RNA, 1058 nt
Filed under: Alexandrium catenella
Lineage: Eukaryota; Dinophyceae; Gonyaulacales; Pyrocystaceae
Description: partial large subunit ribosomal RNA
Rfam family: Eukaryotic large subunit ribosomal RNA
Source: RNAcentral
UUUAGUAAUUGCGAAUGAACAAGGAUAUGCUUAGCUUGACAAAUGGAGCUAUUGGCUUUGAAUUGUAUUGUGGAAAUGUAUUACCAACAGAGGUGCAGGUGCCAGCCUAUUGAAAUAAAGCGUCAAUGAGGGUGAGAAUCCUGUUUGUCAUGUGCAGCCCUUUGUGCACGGUGUAUAUUUGCUGAGUCACACUCCUUGGCAUUGGAAUGCAAAGUGGGUGGUAAGUUUCAUGUAAAGGUAAACAUGCAAUUGAGACUGAUAGCACACAAGUACCAUGAGGGAAAUAUGAAAAGGACUUUGAAAAGAGAAUUAAAUGAGUUUGUAUUUGCUGAACACAAAGUAAACAGACUUGAUUUGCUUGGUGGGAGUGUUGCACUUGCUUGACAAGAGCUUUGGGCUGUGGGUGUAAUGAUUCUUUCUUUGCAUGCCAGUUUCUAUUUGUACAUCUGAUUACCUUUGCACAUGAAUGAUAAGUCUCCUGUGGGGGGUGGAUUGCAUGUGCAUGUAAUGAUUUGUGUUUUGAUAAAUGUGUCUGGUGUAUGUGUGUGUUCCUGUGCUUGGGGAUGCUUCCUUCCUUGGACUUACAAGCCCUGACACACACAUGCUGGCAAAAUGCUUCUGCUUGACCCGUCUUGAAACACGGACCAAGGAGUCUAACAGAUGUGCAAAGUUUGAAGGUGGUAUACCUUUGUGUGCAAUGAAAGUGUCAGCUGGGAUAUGUGCACCAGCACCCAAUUAAUUAGCGGACAGAGGUUUGAGUUGGAGCAUAUCUAUUAGGACCCGAAAGAUGGUGAACUAUGCCUGAACAGAAUGAAUUCAGAGGAAACUCUGAUGGAGGUUCGUAUCGAUACUGACGUGCAAAUCGUUCGUCAUAUUUGGGUAUAGGGGCGAAAGACUAAUCGAACCAUCUAGUAGCUGGUUCCCUCCGAAGUUUCCCUCAGGAUAGCUGGAGUUGCUCAGUUUUAUCAGGUAAAGCGAAUGAUUAGAGGAAUUGGGGACAGGUUUGUCUUUGACCUAUUCUCAAACUUUAAAUGGGUAAUAUGUAGUGGUUGCUGUAU